CCUACGGGAGGCAGCAGUGGGGAAUAUUGCACAAUGGGGGAAACCCUGAUGCAGCGACGCCGCGUGAGUGAAGAAGUAUUUCGGUACGUAAAGCUCUAUCAGCAGGGAAGAAAAUGACGGUACCUGACUAAGAAGCCCCGGCUAACUACGUGCCAGCAGCCGCGGUAAUACGUAGGGGGCAAGCGUUAUCCGGAUUUACGGGGUGUAAAGGGAGCGUAGACGGCAGCGCAAGUCUGGAGUGAAAUCCCAUGGCUUAACCAUGGAACUGCUUUGGAAACUGUGCAGCUAGAGUGCAGGAGAGGUAAGCGGAAUUCCUAGUGUAGCGGUGAAAUGCGUAGAUAUUAGGAGGAACACCAGUGGCGAAGGCGGCUUACUGGACUGUAACUGACGUUGAGGCUCGAAAGCGUGGGGAGCAAACAGGAUUAGAUACCCCUGUAGUC
Molecule: ribosomal RNA, 440 nt
Filed under: uncultured bacterium
Lineage: Bacteria
Description: partial 16S ribosomal RNA
Rfam family: Bacterial small subunit ribosomal RNA
Source: RNAcentral